AGCGCAGGCCGCCUUAUCGCGCAUCAAUUCGUUGAUGGGAGGAAAGUCCGGACACCACAGGGAAGCAUAGCGGCUAACGGCCGUCGUCGUAUAGCUCGUGCUAUACGAUAGGACUAGUGCAACAGAAAGGAUGUACAGGUAAUGCUGUAGUGAAAUCGUGUAAACUCUAUGCGGUGAAAUACCACGUAAACUUACAUUCGAGGGUUCCCGCCCAACGUAAGAGGGUAGGUAGAUAGAACUAUUUGGCAACAAAUGGUCCAGAUAAAUGAUAAGGGCUCUUUAAUGUAAAUUGAAGAGAACAGAAUCCGGCUUACAGGCCUGCAUUUUUU
Molecule: RNase P RNA, 329 nt
Filed under: Pukyongia salina
Lineage: Bacteria; Pseudomonadati; Bacteroidota; Flavobacteriia; Flavobacteriales; Flavobacteriaceae
Description: Bacterial RNase P class A
Rfam family: Bacterial RNase P class A
About the family: Ribonuclease P (RNase P) is a ubiquitous endoribonuclease, found in archaea, bacteria and eukarya as well as chloroplasts and mitochondria. Its best characterised activity is the generation of mature 5'-ends of tRNAs by cleaving the 5'-leader elements of precursor-tRNAs.
Source: Rfam by way of RNAcentral